UCCAUCUCCUUCAUCUUCCUGUUUAUUUCCUAAUUCUUUCCCACAGCUAACUUCCACCGGCUCCAUUUUAUGGGCACGGCUGGUCCCGGUGAGUGCCGGUUUAUGGCCCUCAUUUGUUUUAUGACUCUCCGUUUGGACUUCAUUAUCUAUUUUUAAUGGAUUGCAGCUUGCACUUCUUAAAGUGCCCCCAAUCACUUGAUGCCAUUCUGGGAUGGCUCCCGGAGUUUCCUUAUCACAGGAAGCCAUCUGACUAUCUACUACCUCCCACAUUUUAAAAUUCAUUUCGAAUCCUGCUUGUUUUAUUAUUCUAUACGCUUCUUUCCCUGGUACCUCCUGAUCUGGGACCCUCACAACAAUCUGUCCCAUUUUCCUAACUUUCUACUCACUUUAGAGCAGAGUUCUGUCUCUCUUCCCACCUGUAGGCCUGCUACAAGGUAAGGUCCUAGCCAAAAUUGUCCCUGUUCGGGCACUACUUGUUACACCCCUAUGGACUACUCUAACCUGGUAGCUCCCCUUUGAGCUAUUCUUAAUGCCCGUCUAUCGACGGCAUGGCCAGGCCACAUUUACCCGUCUUCAGGCACCAACCUGGAUCCCACAGAGACAGACCACAAGGAGUUGCACCAGCAUUACAUUUGGAGGCCCCAGCGAAAUGAGAUCUGAGAGCAGGAUUAGAGAUUGUAGAACAGCAGGUUUUGAUGGAGAGCCUUGAGCCAGCUGGUUCUGGACUCUUUUAGGGAAGCCAGCAUCUGGUUUCUUCCAGAAUCCCGUGGAGAGACCAGUUCCAGCCGCAGCAAGAACUCAUUGCCAACGCCUGCAGGAUUUUGGUCAGAUUACUGCUAUAUUGAUCUGCUUUCUGGGACCUGGAUCAGCUUUGAUCAGAGAUCAGCACAGCACACCCAUCCCCCUGCUUGGACCGAGAGCCUCCAUCCCUUAUCAGCAUGAAACAGCUUUUGAAUGAGAAGUUUUGCCCUUGCCCCAAUGGACUUAGUGAUGGGGAAUUAGGGAAUGGUUGAUGAAUGACUGUUAAACCCUGACUGAGUCAUCUAUUACUGCAUGUUUAAAAUUAGGGACAGAACUAUAUUACUAUGUGUUUAAGAUUUGAUAUGGAUAAAGGACUGCUUGCCAUCUAGGGGAGGGGGCGGAGGGAGGGA
Molecule: long non-coding RNA, 1151 nt
Organism: Antechinus flavipes (yellow-footed antechinus)
Lineage: Eukaryota; Metazoa; Chordata; Mammalia; Dasyuromorphia; Dasyuridae
Exons: 3
Source: RefSeq, a predicted model, not a curated record